CUCACCGUCAGGUCCUGCCGCAGGGAUUUCAGCUGCUCGCAGGCCCAGGCGUAGUCGCGGUGCUGCUGCCAGUGCGAGCGCACCAGGGCCAGCGCCUGCCGCAGCACCUGCGGAUUUUGGGGCGUUUUGGGGCGUUUUGGGCCUUUUCGGAGCAUUUCGGGGGUUUCAAGGAGGAUUUUGGGGGUUUUGGGGUGGAUUUUGGGGGCUUUGGGGUGGAUUUUGGGGGUUUUGGGGUGGAUUUUGGGGGAUUUUUCUGUGGAUUUUGGGGGGUUUUUAUGUGGAUUUUGGGGGGUUCCGUGGCAGAUUUUGGGGUUUUUGGGGUGAUGUUUUUGGGGUGGAUUUUGGGGUGAAUUUCGGUGGUUUUGGGGUCACUCACCGGCACGGGUCUCACAGUACUGGGAUCAGGAUUAUUUCGUCAUAUUUUUGGUGGAUUUUGGGGUAUUUUGGGACGUUUUGGACACUCACCGGCACGGGUCACAUGGUACUGGGAUCAGGGAUAUUUUGGGGGUGGAUAUCAGAGUUUUUGGGAUAUUUUGGGAUGGAUUUUGGGAUAUUUUGGGACAUUUUGGCUCGCUCACCGGCACGGGUCUGACGGUGCUGGGAUCGGGGUUAUUUUUGGGUGGAUUUUGGGGUGGAUUUUGGGAUAUUUUGGCACGUUUUGGCUCGCUCACCGGCACGGGUCUGACGGUGCUGGGAUCGGGGUUA
This 705-nucleotide long non-coding RNA is filed under the name Lonchura striata (white-rumped munia). RNAcentral's name for it is "domestica (Bengalese finch) lncRNA (ENSLSDG00000011262.1)". The record is from RNAcentral. Lineage: Eukaryota; Metazoa; Chordata; Aves; Passeriformes; Estrildidae.